This 225-nucleotide non-coding RNA is filed under the name Caenispirillum salinarum. The record is from RNAcentral. RNAcentral also lists the same sequence under 1 other name. Lineage: Bacteria; Pseudomonadati; Pseudomonadota; Alphaproteobacteria; Rhodospirillales; Novispirillaceae.
UAGGGUUGCGUCGGUGCCGGUUCCCGGAAACGGGAUUGAAAGGGAACACGGGACGGCAGGGCUUGCGACGACCGCGUCCGCCCCGCCGAGCCGUGGCUGCCCCCGCAACUGUGCGCGGCGAGUCUCCGCCCCACCUGAAACCAUGGCCACUGGCACAGCCGGGAAGGCCGCGGAUGGAGACGACGACCCGCAAGCCAGGAGACCUGCCGGCGCAAGCGUCGCCUU